This 321-nucleotide long non-coding RNA is filed under the name Anser brachyrhynchus (Pink-footed goose). RNAcentral describes it as "lncRNA (ENSABRG00000012130.1)". Lineage: Eukaryota; Metazoa; Chordata; Aves; Anseriformes; Anatidae. The record is from RNAcentral.
AUGCUCUGGGGACAACUCAGCCUCAUCCCAGGGACUGCACUACGAAGCUCAGGUCUUGGAAAAAUGUCUUUUCCUGAAGGUUGGGGGAAGCUGGCAUUUUUUCUCUCAAGGACCCAUCUUCUUCAUAUGCAGGUCCCAUAUUCCCAGGUGUAUCUCUGGAAAGAACACCACCACUGUGCUGCCACCAUCCUAUGUAUGUCUGAUUUGGGGAUGGGUUGGUGCUGGUGCAUGGAGCCUACAGAGCCUUGAGACAGCUGUCCUCGUUCCAUCCUCCAGAGACAGCGACAAGUAAUUAAUAAAACCUACUUUGUGUGUCUGCCA